This 76-nucleotide transfer RNA is filed under the name Chloroflexota bacterium. RNAcentral's name for it is "Chloroflexi bacterium tRNA-Ala". It matches the Rfam family "tRNA". Rfam says of the family: Transfer RNA (tRNA) molecules are approximately 80 nucleotides in length. Their secondary structure includes four short double-helical elements and three loops (D, anti-codon, and T loops). RNAcentral also lists the same sequence under 1 other name. The record is from RNAcentral. Lineage: Bacteria; Bacillati; Chloroflexota.
GGGGCCGUAGCUCAGUCGGGAGAGCGCCUGCUUUGCAAGCAGGAGGUCGUCGGUUCGAGCCCGUCCGGCUCCACCA